Molecule: ribosomal RNA, 460 nt
Filed under: uncultured bacterium
Lineage: Bacteria
Description: partial 16S ribosomal RNA
Rfam family: Bacterial small subunit ribosomal RNA
Source: RNAcentral
CCUACGGGUGGCUGCAGUGAGGAAUCUUGGUCAAUGGACGCAAGUCUGAACCAGCCAUGCCGCGUGCAGGAAGACGGCUCUCUGAGUUGUAAACUGCUUUUGUACAAGGGUACACCUGAAUACGUGUAUUCAGCUGACAGUACUGUACGCUUAAGGAUCGGCUAACUCCGUGCCAGCAGCCGCGGUCAUACGGAGGAUCCAAGCGUUAUCCUGAUUUAUUGGGUUUAAAGGGUACGUAGGCGGAUUGAUAAGUUAGAGGUGAAAUGUCCGGGCUCAACUCGGGAACUGCCUCUAAUUCUGUUGAUCUAGAGAGUAGAUGCGGUAGGCGGAAUGUAUGGUGUAGCGGUGAAAUGCUUAGAGAUCAUACAGAACACCGAUUGCGAAGGCAGCUUACCAAUCUAUAUCUGACGUUGAGGCACGAAAGCGUGGGGAGCAAACAGGAUUAGAUACCCGUGUAGUC